This 255-nucleotide ribosomal RNA is filed under the name Microbacterium maritypicum. RNAcentral describes it as "Microbacterium liquefaciens partial 16S ribosomal RNA". It matches the Rfam family "Bacterial small subunit ribosomal RNA", at positions 542 to 796 of the family's 1533-position model. The record is from RNAcentral. Lineage: Bacteria; Bacillati; Actinomycetota; Actinomycetes; Micrococcales; Microbacteriaceae.
UAUCCGGAAUUAUUGGGCGUAAAGAGCUCGUAGGCGGUUUGUCGCGUCUGCUGUGAAAUCCGGAGGCUCAACCUCCGGCCUGCAGUGGGUACGGGCAGACUAGAGUGCGGUAGGGGAGAUUGGAAUUCCUGGUGUAGCGGUGGAAUGCGCAGAUAUCAGGAGGAACACCGAUGGCGAAGGCAGAUCUCUGGGCCGUAACUGACGCUGAGGAGCGAAAGGGUGGGGAGCAAACAGGCUUAGAUACCCUGGUAGUCC